AGUGGCGAACGGGUGAGUAACACGUGAGUAACCUGCCCUUAACUCUGGGAUAAGCCUGGGAAACUGGGUCUAAUACCGGAUAGGAGCGUCCACCGCAUGGUGGGUGUUGGAAAGAUUUAUCGGUUUUGGAUGGACUCGCGGCCUAUCAGCUUGUUGGUGAGGUAAUGGCUCACCAAGGCGACGACGGGUAGCCGGCCUGAGAGGGUGACCGGCCACACUGGGACUGAGACACGGCCCAGACUCCUACGGGAGNCAGCAGUGGGGAAUAUUGCACAAUGGGCGAAAGCCUGAUGCAGCGACGCCGCGUGAGGGAUGACGGCCUUCGGGUUGUAAACCUCUUUCAGUAGGGAAGAAGCGAAAGUGACGGUACCUGCAGAAGAAGCACCGGCUAACUACGUGCCAGCAGCCGCGGUAAUACGUAGGGUGCGAGCGUUAUCCGGAAUUAUUGGGCGUAAAGAGCUCGUAGGCGGUUUGUCGCGUCUGUCGUGAAAGUCCGGGGCUUAACCCCGGAUCUGCGGUGGGUACGGGCAGACUAGAGUGCAGUAGGGGAGACUGGAAUUCCUGGUGUAGCGGUGGAAUGCGCAGAUAUCAGGAGGAACACCGAUGGCGAAGGCAGGUCUCUGGGCUGUAACUGACGCUGAGGAGCGAAAGCAUGGGGAGCGAACAGGAUUAGAUACCCUGGUAGUCCAUGCCGUAAACGUUGGGCACUAGGUGUGGGGACCAUUCCACGGUUUCCGCGCCGCAGCUAACGCAUUAAGUGCCCCGCCUGGGGAGUACGGCCGCAAGGCUANNACUCAAAGGAAUUGACGGGGGCCCGCACAAGCGGCGGAGCAUGCGGAUUAAUUCGAUGCAACGCGAAGAACCUUACCAAGGNUUGACAU
Molecule: small RNA, 881 nt
Filed under: Micrococcus luteus
Lineage: Bacteria; Bacillati; Actinomycetota; Actinomycetes; Micrococcales; Micrococcaceae
Description: bacterial SSU rRNA
Rfam family: Bacterial small subunit ribosomal RNA
Source: RNAcentral